GCCUUCGUGCUCAGUAGACCC
RNAcentral lists this microRNA (21 nucleotides) under Cordylochernes scorpioides. Lineage: Eukaryota; Metazoa; Arthropoda; Arachnida; Pseudoscorpiones; Chernetidae. The record is from RNAcentral.